CCUCUACUGGGAUGUCAUGCAGGAGAACUAUAAGAAUGUGACCUCACUGGGGUUUCCAGUUUGCCAACCUGAUGUGAUCUCCCAGCUAGAACAAAGGGAAGAGCCCUGGGUCCCAGACCUCCAGGAUUCAGAGGAAAGAGAGAUCCUGAGAGCUCCCUGCACAGCAGGUGACACAAUGGUAUGUGAGAAAGAGGAACAGAAUUCUCAGCAGGAAAAUGUUGA
Mauremys reevesii (Reeves's turtle) is the source of this 222-nucleotide long non-coding RNA. RefSeq lists it as uncharacterized. NCBI's taxonomy places the organism in Eukaryota, Metazoa, Chordata, Testudines, Geoemydidae. The record is from RefSeq and is a predicted model, not a curated record. The transcript has 3 exons.